Clupea harengus (Atlantic herring) is the source of this 1010-nucleotide long non-coding RNA. NCBI's taxonomy places the organism in Eukaryota, Metazoa, Chordata, Actinopteri, Clupeiformes, Clupeidae. The record is from Ensembl.
GACGGCUGCUAGACGACACUACCUGUCUCUGCAUCUCUGUCCCAACCAGAGGGUGCUGCCUCCACACUAUCGAUACUGCCGAUGCCGAGGGCCGUCGCUGCCAGUCAGCUAGGUAAACACAGCCCACUCAUUUCCUGUCAAUCUCUCGCCAUCACCAGCUAGUGAUGAGAGAUGGACCGCCGUAAUGUUCUGUUCCACUUGUAUGUCACAAUGGAAUCUCUUGCUGAGCUUUCUCCUGUUCGAGAGAGUGUGUGUGUGUGUGUGUUUGAAUGUUUCUAGCAUCACAGAUGGGUUUGUGGCAUAACUACGUGCCCAUACAAAAAGGUAAGACGAAGAGUGAAAAACACAAGAGUGACAGGUGGUUCUUUUUUUUCUCCAUUUUUUUUCAACUGUUUGGACUUGGGGAGUGAGCUGUUUGGACUUGGGGAGUGAGCUGUUUGGUGACUACCGUUGAAACGCAGCACCAGUAAUAAACACACUCCGCGUACGGCAGCCAUGACGGAGCUGGCAAGCGAGUUUAUUUGUUGACUGUUCGUCUGAUUCGGUUGAACGCUCUGCGUACACACACACACACACACACACACACACACACACACACAGAACAGAACGCUCUUCCUCCCCCUCAUCUACAACCUCUCUCUCUCUUCACCAGGGCUGUUUGCUUGGAUCACGGCUCGUGUGGGUGCGCUGACAGCCGUGAUAUGCUAUCAAUCACUGCCUCAAAUGAGGCUCAGCCAUUUAUGGAUGAGAAACAAAUGGUAAUUUCCUUGGUGAUCAGAAUGGAUGAGAACUGUGCCCUUUUUAUUUUUAUUUUUAAUUUUUGUAUGCUACAAAACUAAUUACAUACUCAUAGUGUCAACUGUGGAGCAGCCUCAUGAAAAGAGAUCAGGGUAUUACUCUGAAUAAGUGAAUGAAUGGUCUCUCCUGCUCCUCAACAUCAUCACAUUCCUAUCAUUGACGCUGCGCAAAUGUAUUCUGCUCAAGAGUAGCGCUUGACUCCAACCACAAGA